RNAcentral lists this long non-coding RNA (530 nucleotides) under Crocodylus porosus (Australian saltwater crocodile). RNAcentral describes it as "lncRNA (ENSCPRG00005013694.1)". The record is from RNAcentral. Lineage: Eukaryota; Metazoa; Chordata; Crocodylia; Crocodylidae.
AGUGGGCAAAUACUGCCACUUCUGUCUGCGCCUUAAUGAAUCAUCUCUAGUGGUGCCAUGGUAUAUGACAAGGCAUAAAUCAUUUCAUGCAAACUUGCCUCAUUAUGGAGGCAGUUGAACAGAGACAAAGGGAAAGUAGCUGUAACUUGACAUAACCAGGAUCCAUUCCUUCCUAGCAGAACAGUUUUCCAGUUCUGCAGUUGAACAUACAGAUCACAGAUCCUACUCUUCAGUCAUCUCCAGCUUCACCAAUUACUUCCCUAUUUACAGAAGACAGUGCAUUUCAUAUUGAAGGACUGCCACCAACAAUGACAAGAAUUUUACCAACUCCAAUAUCCUCCUAAAAGAUGACACAAAAGAAUAAGAGAACACACACAUACGCACGAGCAAGAGAGACGUCCAGGCUUCUUUCACAAUCCUAUGAAAAUAUCAAGAUCCUGCAUCAUCUAAAACAUGGAAAGCAGUGGAAUCCUGUCUGGAAGAAACGUGACACAGUCAGACAAUACAUGGAAAGUUUCCUGUUCUUCUAA